This 460-nucleotide ribosomal RNA is filed under the name uncultured bacterium. Its description in RNAcentral is "partial 16S ribosomal RNA". It matches the Rfam family "Bacterial small subunit ribosomal RNA", at positions 338 to 795 of the family's 1533-position model. The record is from RNAcentral.
CCUACGGGUGGCAGCAGUGAGGAAUAUUGGUCAAUGGACGCAAGUCUGAACCAGCCAUGCCGCGUGCAGGAUGACGGCUCUAUGAGUUGUAAACUGCUUUUGUACGAGGGUAAACCCCGAUACGUGUAUCGGGUUGAAAGUCUAGUACGAAUCAGGCACGGCUAACUACGUGCCAGCAGCCGCGGUAAUACGGAGGUGCCGAGCGUUAUCCGGAUUUAUUGGGUUUAAAGGGUGCGUAGGCGGUUUGAUAAGUUAGAGGUGAAAUGGCGGGGCUCAACCCCGGAACUGCCUUUAGUACUGUUGGACUAGAGAAUAGUUGCGGUAGGCGGAAUGUAUGGUGUAGCGGUGAAAUGCUUAGAGAUCAGACAGAACACCGAUUGCGAAGGCAGCUUACCAAACUAUAUCUGACGUUGAGGCACGAAAGCGUGGGUAGCAAACAGGAUUAGAUACCCGUGUAGUC